This 253-nucleotide ribosomal RNA is filed under the name uncultured bacterium. RNAcentral's name for it is "partial 16S ribosomal RNA". It matches the Rfam family "Bacterial small subunit ribosomal RNA", at positions 524 to 776 of the family's 1533-position model. The record is from RNAcentral.
UACGGAGGGUGCGAGCGUUGUCCGGAAUCACUGGGCGUAAAGGGCGCGUAGGCGGCCGGGCAAGGUCGUGGUGAAAGCCCGGGGCUCAACCCCGGGUCGGCCAUGGCAACUACUCGGCUGGAGCACAGUAGAGGCAGGCGGAAUUCCGGGUGUAGCGGUGGAAUGCGUAGAGAUCCGGAAGAACACCGGUGGCGAAGGCGGCCUGCUGGGCUGUGGCUGACGCUGAGGCGCGACAGCGUGGGGAGCAAACAGG